This 1325-nucleotide ribosomal RNA is filed under the name Ranina ranina. RNAcentral's name for it is "16S ribosomal RNA". The stretch from base 629 to 1325 matches the Rfam family "Archaeal large subunit ribosomal RNA", at positions 1424 to 2801 of the family's 2987-position model. The record is from RNAcentral. Lineage: Eukaryota; Metazoa; Arthropoda; Malacostraca; Decapoda; Raninidae.
AAUUGUAGUCUUACUCGAUAAAAAAAAACGAAUAUUCAUUAAUGAAAAAUAAUUUAAAGGAAAAAAAGAGAGUAAAUUUUGUUGAAAUUAGAAAGAAGGGUGAUAGGAAAAUAGUAUCGUAAGAGAAAGGGAAAAAAACAAAAGUUUAAAAAAGCAGGAUUUAAGGUCUGUACCUUGGGUAUCAGGGAAAAUCAAUAUUAUCUAAAAAAAUUAGAAAUCCCGAAACAGAGACAGCUAGUUUUGAAAAAUAGUUCUCGUAGCAAAGAGAUUAAAAAUUCAAUACUAAAGAUGAAAUGUCAGUACGAGCUCUAAAUAUCUGGUUUUUUGAGAAAGAAUCUAAUUCUGUUUCUGUAGAGAAAGAGUCAGUAGAAGCAAGGGACAGGAGGGUAGAGCUUUUUGUCCUAUAAAUUAUAUAAUAUGAAAUUAUAAGUUUUUUAGAAAUUUAACUGGGCUUAAGAGUAGCUAUGUAGAUAAAGUGUUUUAACUAAAAAUAAAUAGAAAAAAAUUUAUGUGAUUCUAAAUUAUUAUCAAAAUUUUAAUAGUAAUGAAAAAUAUAAAGAAACAAUGAUUUUAUAAGUAUAAGUAUAUUAUAGGUGAAAAUAAAUAAAAUAAGGGACAAAAUAUAAAAGAAUAAUGAUGCAUUAAAGGAACUCGGCAAAGGAAUUUUUUGCCUGUUUAUCAAAAACAUGUCUGUUUGGAGUUGUAAAGAGUCUAGCCUGCCCACUGACAUUAGUUAAAGGGCCGCGGUAUUCUGACCGUGCAAAGGUAGCAUAAUCAUUAGUCUCUUAAUUGGAGGCUUGUAUGAAUGGUUGGACAAAAAAGUGUCUGUCUCUAUAGUAAAAUUAAAAUUUGAUUUUUGAGUGAAAAAGCUCAAAUAAGUCAAGAAGACGAUAAGACCCUAUAAAGCUUUAUACUAAAAUUGAAUUGAAAUUAAUUUAUAGAUUAAGUAAUAUCAGUUAAAUGAAGUAUUAUGUUGGGGCGACAAAGGUAUAAAUUGUAUAACUGCUUACAAAAGAAACAUUUAUAUAUGAGUAAAAGUAAAAGAUCCCUUUUAAGGAUUAGAAGAUUAAGUUACUUUAGGGAUAACAGCGUUAUUUCUUUUGAGAGUUCAUAUCGAAAAAGAAGUUUGCGACCUCGAUGUUGAAUUAAAAUAUCAAUAUAGUGCAGCAGCUAUAUAUGAGGGUCUGUUCGACCUUUAAAUUUUUACAUGAUUUGAGUUCAGACCGGUGUAAACCAGGUUGGUUUCUAUCUCUUGAGCGGGGAAAAAGAUAACYUAGUACGAAAGGAUUGGUUACUAGAAAUUUCUAAGUGAAGAUUAAUAGUAC